CCUACGAGCGGCAGCAGUGGGGGAUAUUGCACAAUGGGGGGAACCCUGAUGCAGCGACGCCGCGUGGGUGAAGAAGCGCCUCGGCGCGUAAAGCCCUGUCAGCAGGGAAGAAAAUGACGGUACCUGAAGAAGAAGCCCCGGCUAACUACGUGCCAGCAACCGCGGGAAUACGUAGGGGGCAAGCGUUAUCCGGAUUUACUGGGUGUAAAGGGGGCGCAGACGGCGCUGCAAGCCAGGAGUGAAAGCCCGGGGCCCAACCCCGGGACUGCUCUUGGAACUGCGUGGAGGGAGGGCAGGAGGGGCAGGUGGAAUUCCAGGUGUAGCGGUGAAAUGCGUAGAUAUCAGGAUGAACACCGGUGGCGAAGGCGGCCUGCUGGACUGCAACUGACGUUGAGGCCCGAAAGCGUGGGGAGCAAACAGGAUUAGAUACCCCGGUAGUC
RNAcentral lists this ribosomal RNA (440 nucleotides) under uncultured bacterium. Its description in RNAcentral is "partial 16S ribosomal RNA". It matches the Rfam family "Bacterial small subunit ribosomal RNA", at positions 338 to 795 of the family's 1533-position model. The record is from RNAcentral.